GGAAGUGAAAGUCGUAACAAGGUUCCCGUAGGUGAACCUGCGGAAGGAUCAUUAAUGAGUUGUCAUGGGGUUCGAUGCUGGCAGCCAGUUUUUGGAUGCAUGUGCUUGCCCUAACAAUCAUCUUCUUCCAAACACCUGUGCACAUUUUUGAGGGAGUCUUGAGUUGGUUGCCGCUCUUGGGUGAUUUUCUCACAUUCCCUUAAAUCAUUAUACGCUAUUAACAAUGUUGAACGUGCUCUGUGCCGCAAGGCCAUUAAUAUAAUACAACUUUUAACAACGGAUCUCUUGGCUCUC
Molecule: unclassified non-coding RNA, 294 nt
Filed under: plant metagenome
Description: partial contains small subunit ribosomal RNA, internal transcribed spacer 1, and 5.8S ribosomal RNA
Rfam family: Eukaryotic small subunit ribosomal RNA (bases 1-54)
Source: RNAcentral